UAAACCUUCUAUGUCCACAUCAUUCAUUUG
Molecule: non-coding RNA, 30 nt
Filed under: Mus musculus (house mouse)
Lineage: Eukaryota; Metazoa; Chordata; Mammalia; Rodentia; Muridae
Source: RNAcentral